Molecule: long non-coding RNA, 3253 nt
Organism: Papaver somniferum (opium poppy)
Lineage: Eukaryota; Viridiplantae; Streptophyta; Magnoliopsida; Ranunculales; Papaveraceae
Exons: 4
Source: RefSeq, a predicted model, not a curated record
AAAAAAAACAAAGAAAAACCUAACCCUACGUCCGUCUCUUCUUAAAAACUUUCUCUCCCUAUUUUUUGUUUGGAUCUCUUACUUUCUCAUUGACGUCCUUUCUCUUAAGACUAUUCGUUCAUCCUAAACCUUCCCUCUGCCAUUCUUCUGCAACAAACCAUGGAUGUUCAUCAUCAAAUAACAGACUUCAAUACGGAUGUCACAAGGCUUUUUCCGCCUGCUAACCAAGGUUUUCGAGUAUUUUACUUUUCUUCUUCGCUGAAAAACGGCUGCCGUAGUUUCCACCAUGACGGUUUUCGCUUUCCAACGAUUUUCAUUGACAAGGUUCGGUACAAAACCCUAACCCUAUUUUCCAUUUCUCUAAUUUCUUUUUCUUUGGUUUUCUCUACAUUCAUGAUAUUUGAUUUUCAGGGAUGAAUUUUUACAGUUUAUGUCCAAAUUAUGAUUUUUAGUGUUUAGGUUUUGAAGAAGUAAGGCACAUCAGGUAUGAUUUUUAAUUGCAUGUUCUUAGUUUUACUGAACACGCUCUGUUUUUUAUUUUGUGAGUGAAGGUUUACUUAUUUUUUGAAUUCUUAAGUAUGGGUUUGUUUAAUUUUGAGUCAUCCCAUCUCGGCUCAAACAGCGGAGAUUAAUGUUGAUUGACAUAAAAAAAAAUCUUAUGGAGACCAAGCUAAUAGGAAGCAAGUUAUUAUGUCUUUUUUUCAUUACCUAAGCCGAAGUGUAUCCAACAUUGGGUUGCAAUAUGAUAUGAGGAAGUUUGUUAUCUGUUUUCAGCUUUAAUGUCCUUCUUCCACAAAGGACAUCCAUUGACGUUGGUAGUUUUUGACCUUUUAGUAGUCCUAUAUAAAAUUUGCUAUAUAGCUACGUUGUUGUGUCUUUUUUUUUUAUAUAUAUAGAUUACUCGCUUACAUUUACGGUUUCUAUUCUUAUAUAUAGGUACCACCUACUAUGUGCAAGAAGCACAGUUCUUCUCAAGGAGCGUGUAUCCAUGGUUUCCAAGGCAAGCACUAAUACGCACGACAUCGUCGUAGUUUUCUUGGUCUGACGAUAAUUAUAACGAUGAAGGUAGUAAAUUAAAUUUUCGGAGGCAUGUCCACAUUUGUUUUAAGUGUUUGUGGUCGGUGUAUUUCUUCUGCAGGUAUUGUGUUGUUCAUGAUUUUUAUCGGCUAAUCUCUAUUGGCUUAUAUUAUGCUCAUUUGCCGAAGUGUUCUGUUGGCUACCGUGGUGGGCAUUUUUGUUUCUCAUUGUUUUCCCCGAUUAGGAAUAGGGAAGUAUAGGGAUGUCAGAUGUAAAUUGCGAUGGUCGAGGAGGUACUUUUGUUUCUUAUCGUUUUAUUGUGGCAUGAUCCUGUUUGGAUUUUUUCGAUUAAAAUUCAUUGUGUUUUCCAGUUUUCCAUGUAGUAGGAAGAAGUAUGCGAGGAGAGUUCCCAUCGUACAUCAAAAUUGGUUUAUUCUGGACAUCUUUUUCUCCCUUUUGUUUUUUUUACACAUUGUUGUUGGCUUUUAUAGGAAAGUUGGAUUAUAAGAUGACACCGAAUAACAAGUUGCCUUCAGAAGCUUGGUGAAGCAAUAGAUAUGAACACAAUAUGGACACGUUAAAUAUAAAGAUAACCUGGAGGUUAUCAUGCAUAAGGUUAGAUUCCAGGAGGCUGCAUCCAUGACAGAGAAUAUUAUAGGCAUGGUCAUAAAUAUCCAAUUGCAAAGAAGCGGCUAAUCAUGGUGGAGGAUUUGGUGUUUAUCAUCCCCAAAUGGGAGAGACGGGGAGGUUUUAUUCUACACAUUUUGUAGCUGUAUUUUCCAAUGUCAGUUUAUCUUGCAGUAAGAGGAAAAAAAGGCGUAGUAGUAACCCGAGUUACAAUCACAACGACAGAGGGAGAUUUCUUUCAAAACUGUGAUCGUACUUAUUGAUUAAGGUAUAUCAAAUUUGUUUUCUAAUUGUUGGAUUAAAUUGAAUGAAUUUUUUAUAUUAUGCAAAUUUCCCUUUGUUGAUUAGUUUACAGCACGCAAUAGUCAUGGCUGGGCACUUUUUUGGGAUUUACCUCCAUAUUUAAACUCCAGAGAAUUAAGUCUGAAAUUGCUAGGUGAAGAGACUUUGGUGCAACUGAUGGAGUUGGCUUUGAUAUGAAUGCUCAGUGAAGAGACUUUGGUGUUGCUAUUACAGAAUGAAAGUAGAUGUAUGUUUAGGACAUGAUUUGAGAAGCGGGUUAUGAGACUGAAAUUUGAUCUGUUUAUGGUGCAUUUUAGUAGUUGCAAGUAACAGUUUUGGUGAUGUGUUGGUGUUGCAGCUGUAUCAUUGAUUGUGAACAGGGAAGAAUUGAAGACUCGGGUCUGGUGUUAGGUCUGUGUUGUUGCAGUAACUGGAGUUGGUGCAAAUUGAGUUAAGAAGCUGGGAAUGGCUAGGAAGUUUUGCUGGGGUUUGUGAUUGAGUUUAAAUGGCAGGCAGAGAAGGCUGCUUGAGUUAAGAUAAUAGUUAGGAUCACAGAUAUAAAGUAGAAGUGGCAGGAACAAAUAGCUCAAGUUGAAAAUGCAUUAAAGGACUGAAAAAGGGAACGAUCUUGGAUUUAGAUGAAGAAGACAUAGAUCAAAAAAAUUAUCUAAGAGAUUGAAUAUUUUAUCUGGAUUGAAAUAUUAAAAAGAUCGCAACUGCCUUCCUGCAGUUUGUUUCAUUACUGCCACUGUGUGAAUUUUUUUUUUAUAAUGGGAGAAGUUGAAGUGAUUUUCUCUGAUACAACGUCUCAAAAGAUUUAUUUGGAUUAGCAAUUGGCCAUUGUAUAAGCCAAAGAGCUCCGACCUAUUAUAAUGUUUCUUCCCAUAAAUUGAGUCUUCUGAUACAUCUUAUCUCUUCUAAAAUCCCAUGAUUAUGUUCAAUCUCUAUAUAUUUUUAAUGGUUAUUUUCAUAUUCAUGGUAUUUAAUGUUAUAUCCUACGAACAGUAGCAUCAUGUUCUUGAAAAGAGGCGGUGCUGGACACGUCGCCUAUUUAGAGACAGGAUAGUGGUGCGUCUACUUCAAAAACCGAACGACUUUGACAGGCUGGUGCUGCUGCACAGGCAGAAGAAGAACGAGAACGGGUGCAAGUAAAAUUUGAAGAGGGAAGAAAGCUUCUUCAAAGCAACACUCUCAAGUCGGAUUUUGUGUAUGGCCAUUCUGAAAUGGAAUCUCCUAAGAUAAACGUUUGUAAGACAAUUGAUGAUGGUUAUAUAGGCAUCUCAGCAUACUGUUCUACUAAUUGUAAUGCGGAAAGGUUUAUAUUCCA